Molecule: non-coding RNA, 621 nt
Organism: Pimephales promelas (fathead minnow)
Lineage: Eukaryota; Metazoa; Chordata; Actinopteri; Cypriniformes; Leuciscidae
Source: RefSeq, a predicted model, not a curated record
UGGAAACGGCGCGGGACCACUGCUUCUGGUAAACAACGAAACUCCCUCUCUCGCUGUUGUUUCAACUUUUCACGGCUUUUUUCAGAUCCUUCAGUGCUGAUGCCCUGCAACGUAUUGAAGUGGAGCUGAUCUUCAUCUCUAAAGCACUACUGAUGAACCAUAUGAUUAAACAAGUCUGUGACUGACUUAAUGAACCCAGUUGGUUUGGAUCAUGCUCAAAGAUGUAAGGGUUACAAAAAGUUAACCAGAACUCUUAUGGACUCCAUCUUCUCUUUCAAAGAGAUGGCAACAUGAACGGAAAAAAGGGGUUGUUGGUGAAAAAAGAGCCUUGACCUACAAAAGGUGCAGCUAAUAAUUGACCAUAUCAAAAAGAGGCACCCAGGCAUCGGAGGCACUGAGAUUAAGGUCUGCAUGGCACAAAAGUUAAAAGAUCUGAGGAGACGAGCAGAAAGGAUGCCUGCUGCAGAAGACACAAAGGACUGAGACACACUUUUACAAACGCACACCACACAAACUGACAUGCGCGUACCUGCGUUUUUUUUUGUGGCUUUUUAUGUAUAAUUUUAAUUUGGUUUUGCUUUGUUUGUUUUAAACAUUCAAUUUGUAUUGCAUAUUUUGAAA